This 365-nucleotide long non-coding RNA is filed under the name Parus major (Great Tit). Its description in RNAcentral is "lncRNA (ENSPMJG00000019188.1)". Lineage: Eukaryota; Metazoa; Chordata; Aves; Passeriformes; Paridae. The record is from RNAcentral.
CUGCGCCCCGCCUCAGCCCCCAGAGCGUCACGGAAUAAAUCCGGAGGCAGGAAAAGUACACAUAUGGAAAUAGUGAAGUUGGUUCUGUCUCUGUCUAGGAAGAUGCUGUGUAAGUGUUGCAAAGCACCACAGAUGACAAUCCCACCACAGAGCAUCCUUCUGAAUGCUGUGUCCUGAAAAAAGCACUGCAGCUGGCAAACUUCCAGGUCAAGGCUUUGUCUAAAGUUACAGUAAAAUGUUAUCACCUGAGAGCUGUAAAGAAACACUAUGAUGAAUCAAGAAGAUAUCUCGAGGAUAUCUUGGAGAGAGGAACACCUGUACUAAUGAUGAGUUAUAAGCAAAUCAGCUCACCAGAAAAAUGUUGA